Molecule: unclassified non-coding RNA, 719 nt
Filed under: Hevea brasiliensis (rubber tree)
Lineage: Eukaryota; Viridiplantae; Streptophyta; Magnoliopsida; Malpighiales; Euphorbiaceae
Source: RNAcentral
AACCCAUCAAUUUCAUCUUCCUCUUCCUCAUCCUCAUAAGCUUCUUCAUCUUCAUAAACCUCUUCUUCAACAUCUUCCCCUUCUAAUUCCUCUUCAUCAUCAUCGUAUUCUGCUGCCCCACCCUGGCCAUCGCAUUCGUCAGAAUGAAUGGGGGCCCUCCGAUCCAUUCUGGGCUUCUCUUCCCCUUCGCCUUCCUCAUCGUCACUUGCCGCUUCACGCCUUCUCAUCCCCAGAAGGCGCUUUUCCUCCUCAGGAUCGCUCUCAUAUUCAACGUCCUCUUCGCCCACCUUCGCCAUUAAAACCAAACCUAGAAUAAAACUUUUACUCUAAAAAAGCCAAUUUAGAGACAAUUUAAAACUAAUCAAAACCAGCCUAAGCCCUGAAACUCCAAAAAAAUUUCUUAGAGACCAAACACCAAUGGUAGAAGCUGCAAGUCAAUUCUCAAACGGAAAAAAAUCCCCCAACAGACACAAAUUAUUGAAGACCUUAUGCAAUCAGACGCCCCAAAAAGCUUAAAUUUCUCACUAGCCAAAAAAGCCAAAUUAAGAAAUUCAUGUCAAUGAAAACCCUAAUAGUUCAAUUUCUCAAAUAAACCAAACACCAAUUCGAGAUAAUGAGAAGAAAUCGAAACCCCUAAAAGCAUAAACUUCAUUCAAUCACUGAGUUAUGCACGCUUCUGGAUCUAGCAGUCCAGAUUUGCGCAAACCCUAAUGAGAGAC